CCUACGGGAGGCUGCAGUAGGGAAUCUUCCGCAAUGGGCGAAAGCCUGACGGAGCAACGCCGCGUGAGUGAUGAAGGUCCUCUGAGCGUAAAACUCCGUUUUUAGGGAAGAACAUCUGUGUAAGUAUCUGCGCCCAUCUUGACGGUACCUAUUCAGAAAGCCACGGCUAAUUACGUGCCAGCAGCCGCGGUAAUACGUAGGUGGCAAGCGUUAACCGGAUUUAUUGGGCGUAAGGGGCGCGUAGGCGGUUUUUUAAGUCUGAUGUGAAAGCCCAUGGCUCAACGGCGGAGGCGCAUGGGAGACUGGAGAACUAGAGAGCAGAAGAGGAAAGUGGAAUGCCAGGUGUAGCGGCGAAAUGCGCAGAGAUAAGAAAGAACACCAGUGGCGAAGGCGGCUUACUGGGCUAUAACUGACGCUGAUGUACGAAAGCGUGGGGAGCAAACAGGAUUAGAUACCCGAGUAGUC
Molecule: ribosomal RNA, 465 nt
Filed under: uncultured bacterium
Lineage: Bacteria
Description: partial 16S ribosomal RNA
Rfam family: Bacterial small subunit ribosomal RNA
Source: RNAcentral